GAGAGGAUCCUGAACCUGGAGUCGGCUCUGAGGCAGAGAGACAACUCCCUGCAGAAGAUCAACCUGCAGCUGCACAGCAAAGACAUGCAGUACCUGCAGCUGCACGCCGGCCCCGAUGCACACAUGCUGGACUGUCCCGCCCUGACCCUGCAGAGCUCCCGCAGCCUGGACGCCCUGUCCGACCUGAAGCUGCAGCGGCUGGAGGCCGAGCUGGAGGGGGCGCGGCACGAAGCCCAGGGGGCGUGUCAGCGGGAAGAGGAGCUGAAGGCCGAGGUCGAGAGGCUGAAGGAGGAGAUGAGACAGCUGCAGAACAGCCAGAGGGAGCGGGAAAUGACUUCUCCGUGCAAGCAGUGUGAUGUGGAGUGGAUAAAGAAGGUGGGAGAUGAGCAGUAAGUGACCACAUUCGAUCUCUGGGGGGUUGAAGGGAGGGAGCGAAGGAGAGAUGCUGGUAGAGAAGCAGCAUCCUCAGCAGAG
RNAcentral lists this long non-coding RNA (474 nucleotides) under Echeneis naucrates (live sharksucker). RNAcentral's name for it is "lncRNA (ENSENLG00000016318.1)". Lineage: Eukaryota; Metazoa; Chordata; Actinopteri; Carangiformes; Echeneidae. The record is from RNAcentral.